CACGUAGGGGACGAGCGUUGUCCGGAUUCAUUGGGCGUAAAGCGCGUGUAGGCGGCUCGGCAAGUCGGUCGUGAAAUGCCGGGGCUCAACCCCGGGACUGCGUCCGAUACUCCCGAGCUGGAGGCAGGUAGGGGAGAUCGGAAUUCCUGGUGUAGCGGUGAAAUGCGCAGAUAUCAGGAGGAACACCAGUGGCGAAGGCGGAUCUCUGGGCCGUGACUGACGCUGAGGCGCGAAAGCUAGGGGAGCAAACAGG
This 253-nucleotide ribosomal RNA is filed under the name uncultured bacterium. RNAcentral's name for it is "partial 16S ribosomal RNA". It matches the Rfam family "Bacterial small subunit ribosomal RNA", at positions 524 to 776 of the family's 1533-position model. The record is from RNAcentral.